This 225-nucleotide long non-coding RNA is filed under the name Trifolium pratense (red clover). RNAcentral describes it as "long non-coding RNA (TPRA_LNC008449)". Lineage: Eukaryota; Viridiplantae; Streptophyta; Magnoliopsida; Fabales; Fabaceae. The record is from RNAcentral.
GGUCAUCGAAGGCAACAUAUAACAUCUCAGGAUUUGAUUUAAGGGUCAUCGAAGGCAACAUAUAUCCAUCUCAUAAUUUUAUUUAACGGUCAUCGAAGGCAUCAUAUAUCCAUCUCAGUAUAUAUAGCCAAUAACAAUUGGACUUAUGGUUCACCGAGGCAACAGUUAACCAUCUCUGAAUUUAAUUUAAGGGUCAUCGAAGGCAACAUAUAUCCAUCUCAGUAU